RNAcentral lists this ribosomal RNA (433 nucleotides) under uncultured bacterium. RNAcentral's name for it is "partial 16S ribosomal RNA". It matches the Rfam family "Bacterial small subunit ribosomal RNA", at positions 29 to 507 of the family's 1533-position model. The record is from RNAcentral.
AACGAACGCUGGCGGCAUGCCUAACACAUGCAAGUCGAACGAGACCUUCGGGUCUAGUGGCGCACGGGUGCGUAACGCGUGGGAACCUGCCCUUAGGUUCGGAAUAACUCCCCGAAAGGGGUGCUAAUACCGGAUAAUGUCUUCGGACCAAAGAUUUAUCGCCUUUGGAUGGGCCCGCGUUGGAUUAGCUAGUUGGUAGGGUAAAAGCCUACCAAGGCGACGAUCCAUAGCUGGUCUGAGAGGAUGAUCAGCCACACUGGGACUGAGACACGGCCCAGACUCCUACGGGAGGCAGCAGUGGGGAAUAUUGGACAAUGGGCGAAAGCCUGACCAAGCAAUGCCGCGUGAGUGAUGAAGGCCUUAGGGUUGUAAAGCUCUUUUACACGGGAUGAUAAUGACAGUACCGGGAGAAUAAGCUCCGGCUAACUCCGUG